This is a non-coding RNA of Cinara cedri, 410 nucleotides long. NCBI's taxonomy places the organism in Eukaryota, Metazoa, Arthropoda, Insecta, Hemiptera, Aphididae. The record is from the annotation of a GenBank genome assembly.
UAACGUCUCGAAACUAGGUGAAUUUUUUUUUAUUGUAUCCAUUGAUGAUAUAGUCAUGAUAUAAUUAUACAUGUGACUUACGUAUGGAAUUAAAGUUUCGGUUUCCAUUUGAGAUUGUCCAUUUACACUUGCGCCAAUUAAAAACAAUGCAAUUAUGAUAAACUCUAUUGUUUUACAAUAUGCGAUUUUAAAAUAUUUCAUUUUCACAAAAAAAUAAUAAUUAUUAUGAAUACUUCUUCGCGAUAUUUUUUUUGUCAAAUGCACUCAGUUUUAGAAUUCUAGUUUGAUUCGUACACGAUUUGACAAUAUUAUCGUAUAUUUUAAAAUAAAAUAGUACACCACAUGUGCGUAGAUAUAACGUUACAUAUUGUUUUUCACAUAUAGGGUGACUCAAGGUAGAUUAUGAUUGU